Molecule: ribosomal RNA, 427 nt
Filed under: Vibrio sp.
Lineage: Bacteria; Pseudomonadati; Pseudomonadota; Gammaproteobacteria; Vibrionales; Vibrionaceae
Description: bacterial SSU rRNA
Rfam family: Bacterial small subunit ribosomal RNA
Source: RNAcentral
GAGUUUGAUCAUGGCUCAGAUUGAACGCUGGCGGCAGGCCUAACACAUGCAAGUCGAGCGGAAACGAGUUAUCUGAACCUUCGGGGAACGAUAACGGCGUCGAGCGGCGGACGGGUGAGUAAUGCCUAGGAAAUUGCCCUGAUGUGGGGGAUAACCAUUGGAAACGAUGGCUAAUACCGCAUGAUGCCUACGGGCCAAAGAGGGGGACCUUCGGGCCUCUCGCGUCAGGAUAUGCCUAGGUGGGAUUAGCUAGUUGGUGAGGUAAGGGCUCACCAAGGCGACGAUCCCUAGCUGGUCUGAGAGGAUGAUCAGCCACACUGGAACUGAGACACGGUCCAGACUCCUACGGGAGGCAGCAGUGGGGAAUAUUGCACAAUGGGCGCAAGCCUGAUGCAGCCAUGCCGCGUGUAUGAAGAAGGCCUUCGGG